This 498-nucleotide ribosomal RNA is filed under the name uncultured bacterium. Its description in RNAcentral is "bacterial SSU rRNA". It matches the Rfam family "Bacterial small subunit ribosomal RNA", at positions 29 to 505 of the family's 1533-position model. The record is from RNAcentral.
AACAAACGCUGGCGGCGUGCCUAACACAUGCAAGUCGAACGCGAAAAUCGGCUUCGGCCGAUGAGUAAAGUGGCGCACGGGUGAGUAACGCGUGGAUAAUCUACCCUUCAGUUGGGAAUAACUUAUCGAAAGGUGAGCUAAUACCGAAUAAAACUGCCUGACCACGGUCGGGUAGUCAAAGAUAGCCUCUGCUUGCAAGCUUUCGCUGAAUGAUGAGUCCGCGUACCAUUAGCUAGUUGGUGGGGUAAUGGCCUACCAAGGCGACGAUGGUUAGCUGGUCUGAGAGGAUGAUCAGCCACACUGGAACUGAGACACGGUCCAGACUCCUACGGGAGGCAGCAGUGAGGAAUCUUGCGCAAUGGGGGAAACCCUGACGCAGCAACGCCGCGUGAGUGAGGAAGGUCUUCGGAUCGUAAAGCUCUGUCGGGUGGAAGAAAUGUAUGGGGUUAAUAGCCUUCAUACUUGACGGUACCACCAAGGAAGCACCGGCUAACUCCG